Molecule: long non-coding RNA, 993 nt
Filed under: Brassica napus (rape)
Lineage: Eukaryota; Viridiplantae; Streptophyta; Magnoliopsida; Brassicales; Brassicaceae
Description: long non-coding RNA (BNAP_LNC001303)
Source: RNAcentral
CAAAAACAGAAAAUUGUUUAUAAGCUAUUCGAAUAAAUUUUGAUGUUUUUAUAUUUUUAUACUCUCAUUUCGGCAGAUUUUUGGAGCAAUCACAAUUUCCUUCCUCUGAGAUAGGAUAAAUUUUAAAGUUCUGGCCGACUUAACAAUGAACACAUGAUAAACACAAACAAAUCAGAUUCGAAGUUACGAGUGUACUUUGUGGUCUUUGAAGUGGUAUCUACUUUCAGCAAAUUCAUGGAGCAAUAUCUUUUAAUGUUUUGGCUAUCUAAACAAUGAACACAAUCCAAUUUGAAAAUUAUCGUUAGGCUUUUUUCGUGCUUGAAUCUCAGCUUCUGUUUUUUUUCUCAGAUCACUCAAUGGCUAAAGAUAGUUCACAAAAAAUUGUGAGGGUAUUUCGAUUUAAAAUUAGCUACGGCUGGUAAGAGAUGACUGAGUUGGGCUGCAUUUACCAAAGUCAAGAACAAAUCCAUUGUGAUUCUCAUGCGGAGGUAGUCAGAGAUAGUGCUCAAGAAUGCACAACUUAUCUGCCAAAAUCAAGAAAGAAUGCGCUGUGAUUCUCGUGCUGAGGUAGUCGGAGAUAGGGCUCAAGAAUGCACAAGUUUUGUUAUAACUAAAAAUGAAAUUCAAAUUUAUAAUUAAAAUUGAUUUGAUAUUAAUAUCUUUUUGAUUAUUAAUAUUUUUUAAAAUGUUAUAUAUUUGAUUGAUUAAUUUAAAUAAUCAAAUAUGUCAUAUUAAUUAAUUAAAUAGUUCUACUAUGACUUGUCAACAAUAGAUAAAAAUAGAAAUUCUAUUUAAGUGAAAUAAUAAUAAUAAUUUCUUUCAUUUAUGACUUAUCAACAAUAGAUAAAAGGGCAAUUCUCUCAAAUAGACUUUUUUUUUAAUUUGUCACAAUAGACCCCAAAAACUAAAAUGACAAAAAUAGAAUUUUUUAUUUUAAAAUUUUAAUUUUUUUUAAUUUUUAAAAUUUGAAAUCUUAUCCCCAAAACCCCACUC